UGCCAGACUCCUACGGGAGGCAGCAGUGGGGGAUAUUGCACAAUGGGGGAAACCCUGAUGCAGCGACGCCGCGUGGGCGAAGAAGUAUUUCGGUAUGUAAAGCCCUAUCAGCAGGGAAGAAGAAAUGACGGUACCUGAGUAAGAAGCACCGGCUAAAUACGUGCCAGCAGCCGCGGUAAUACGUAUGGUGCAAGCGUUAUCCGGAUUUACUGGGUGUAAAGGGAGCGCAGGCGGCACGGCAAGCCUGGAGUGAAAGCCCGUGGCUUAACUACGGGACUGCUCUGGAAACUGUGCAGCUAGAGUGCAGGAGAGGCAGGCGGAAUUCCUAGUGUAGCGGUGAAAUGCGUAGAUAUUAGGAGGAACACCGGUGGCGAAGGCGGCCUGCUGGACUGUAACUGACGUUGAGGCUCGAAGGCGUGGGGAGCAAACAGGAUUAGAUACCCUAGUA
Molecule: ribosomal RNA, 448 nt
Filed under: uncultured bacterium
Lineage: Bacteria
Description: partial 16S ribosomal RNA
Rfam family: Bacterial small subunit ribosomal RNA
Source: RNAcentral